UUUUCCUUGGUGAGUACUCUGGAAUUGCUGUAUGUUUACCGGAGGGCUUUUCCGGAAUACUCUAAAACUUGCUGUACACUAAACUGCAUGUUUUAAGAAAUACCGAUCACUAUGAGGAAGACCUAACCUCUGGAUUUAACCGGAGGGGAACUAACUCCAUGACUUAAUGUUGUUAUAUUAGGGAUUUAGAACACAGUAGGAAACGUUUUGUAUGGUUGUCACGUAACGAGAGAAGGUAAACCCCUGUAAAAGUGUGGACCCUUUUUCUGAAAUAAAAUCAUCCCACCUUCUUGGACUGGGAUAAAAGGAUUGAGCGCUGUCCUCUCCAGAUUUAAGUCUUCAGUAGUUCCACAUUCUGAUCGUCAAACUUGUGUCAGAGUAUCUCACCGUUUCCCAGAGUCCGGACGUCCACAUCCUCUCUGCCAGACGAGGAGAAGUUAAAUCCUUUGAGAGAAUAGAUGAAGAUCAUUAUCAGGACACAUUAAACUCUGACUGCAGACACACCGAGCCGCAGACUCACCGUCGGAUCUGAAGGAGGUGAGGACGGGCGCAGCGAUCAGCUCCUCCACCGAAGACUCCAUCCUCCGCUCGCCGUCGAUCACCCAGGGAGUCUGAGGCAGAGUGCGGCAGAACUUGUUGUACCUCCCUGAACAACGGGAACGACAUCAGGAUGGAAAACAGACCCAGUUUUGUUAUAUAUAUCUAUCUAUUCAUAUUUACGCACCUUACUCCUCUCUGCUGUUUGUACAUGCUGUUCAUUUUUUGUUUUAUCAUGCACUAUAUUCAGGACAGGAUUUUUUAUGUUUGUUUGUUUGUUUGUAUAGUCUAUUUAUAUGUAGGCGAUAUCUGCGUGUAACACUUAGAGCUGAACAUCUGAACGUCUUCAAUGAUCCGGAUUAAAUAUCUUUACUUUAAUGACCCAACGUUUAGUUACUGAAAGGACAGACUUUAAUUGAGAGCCAUGAGAGUUUUGACUGAAAGAAAUCACAGUCGAUAGUCUGUGCCAGCAGCGUAUUAUGACCAACAACUGUCUAUAUUUGAUCGUGUUUGUGAAGUAAAGAUAAACUGUGAAACUCAAAGUGAACAAAAUCAGUUUUUGUACCAGGAAUUAAACAUGGUUAUUUUUGCUGAAGUUAGCCAUUUUCAAAUGGGACUCACUUAAGGACUGCGUAUAAAUUACCCACUUUUUAAUGGAAUUUAGUAAAAAAAUUAAGGGAUUUUUUGUUUC
Molecule: long non-coding RNA, 1228 nt
Organism: Eleginops maclovinus (Patagonian blennie)
Lineage: Eukaryota; Metazoa; Chordata; Actinopteri; Perciformes; Eleginopidae
Exons: 2
Source: RefSeq, a predicted model, not a curated record